GUCUUGUGUUUAGUAUUCACAAACCAAACUAGUAUCAAGAUACUAAGCAAUAUCUCUAGUUAUCAUGGCAGCAGCUAAAGUUUCAUUUUUCCUUGGUUGCAUCAUUGCUUCAAUUCUUCUCCAAUCAGUGAGUUUGAACGCUCAACGCAAAGUCUGUACAGGGUAUGAGGGGUUUGUUCCAUGGAACGGUGCUUGCGGCGGGACUGGUACGUAUACGGAGUAUCAAGAUUAUCCCGACCAAGACUGUUCAUGGUGGUGUUUGCGUACUGUAUUUACAACUGACAAUCGUAUCAAGUGUGCCCAAAUAACCUAUGAGGAAGAAACAGGGAAGCACGUCUGCACUUGUUAUACUGAAUGUGACCCUUAAUCUGUGAAGUGUGGAGCUAUCAAUCUCGAGUCUACCAUGGAAGCUGCUCGCCUGUUUAUUGUAUUAUUGUUUUAAUAAUUCUUAGCUACUAUCUUCUUGUUACUGCUUAUUAAUCUUUGUUCGCCGUUUUGUGUUGCUGUUGUAAUAAUGAAUGCGCUGCUCAUAAAUAAAUAAUCGAUCGUCAUUUACAACA
Molecule: long non-coding RNA, 560 nt
Organism: Papaver somniferum (opium poppy)
Lineage: Eukaryota; Viridiplantae; Streptophyta; Magnoliopsida; Ranunculales; Papaveraceae
Exons: 2
Source: RefSeq, a predicted model, not a curated record